RNAcentral lists this ribosomal RNA (1231 nucleotides) under metagenome. RNAcentral's name for it is "SSU rRNA". It matches the Rfam family "Eukaryotic small subunit ribosomal RNA", at positions 603 to 1823 of the family's 1831-position model. The record is from RNAcentral.
AUUAAAGUUGCUGCAGUUAAAAAGCUCGUAGUUGGAUUUCGGAUUAAUGGGAGUUAAGGUCCAUCAAUUUGAUGUGUACCUUAUUCUCGUUUCCUUCCUUUUGAAUACACUCCCUGAAAUUUUUUUUUGGGGAUCAAAGUGUUUCAAAUCUUUUACUGUGAAGAAAUUAGAGUGUUCAAAGCAGGCGUAAUCUAGCCUUUGAAUAUAUUAGCAUGGGAUAAUGAAAUAGGACUUUAGUUCUACUUUCGUUGGUUUCUAGGGCUAAAGUAAUGAUUAAUAGGGAUAGUUGGGGUCACUAGUAUUUAAUUGUCAGAGGUGAAAUUCUAAGAUUUAUAAAGACUAACUACUGCGAAAGCAUUUGACAAGGGUGUUUUCAUUAAUCAAGAACGAAAGUUGGGGGAUCGAAGAUGAUCGGAUACCGUCGUAGUCUCAACCAUAAACUAUGCCGACCAAGGAUCCGGGGGUGUUAAAUAUGGAUGACUCUCCGGGCACUUAUAGAGAAAUCAUAAGUAUUUGGGCUCCGGGGGGAGUAUGGUCGCAAGGCUGAAACUUAAAGGAAUUGACGGAAGGGCACCACAAGGAGUGGAACCUGCGGUUUAAUUUGACCCAACACGGGGAAACUUACCAGGUCCAGACACAGUGAGGAUUGACAGAUUGAGAGUUCUUUCUUGAUUCUGUGAGUGGUGGUGCAUGGCCGUUUCUAGUUGGUGGAGUGAUUUGUCUGGUUAAUUCCGUUAACGAACGAGACCUUAACCUAUUAAAUAGUUGCUUGAACACAUGAAUAUUUUAUUCUUUGUUCGGUUAACUUCUUAGAGGGACUCUUCACUGAGAGAGUGAAUGGAAGUUUGAGGCAAAAACAGGUCUGUGAUGCCCUUAGAUGUUCUGGGCCACACGCGCGUUACACUGACAUAUUCAACGAGCAUUUUCCUGGCCCGAUGGGGUUGGGUAAUCUUUUAAAUGUAUGUCGUGCUGGGGAUAGAUCAUUGUAAUUAUUGGUCUUGAACGAGGAAUUCCUAGUAAGUGCAAGUCAUCAACUUGCGCUGAUUACGUCCCUGCCCUUUGUACACACCGCCCGUCGCUCCUACCGAUUGAAUGGUCCGGCGAGAACUCAAGAUGGAAAUAGGUUUUGGACACCGUCAGGUGCUCCAACUAUAUCCAGAAUUUGUUCAAACCUUACCAUUUAGAGGAAGGAGAAGUCGUAACAAGGUUUCCGUAGGUGAACCUGCGGAAG